Molecule: ribosomal RNA, 473 nt
Filed under: uncultured bacterium
Lineage: Bacteria
Description: bacterial SSU rRNA
Rfam family: Bacterial small subunit ribosomal RNA
Source: RNAcentral
AGGCUUAACACAUGCAAGUCAGGGGCAGCAUAAACAUUGCUUGCAAUGUUUGAUGGCGACCGGCGCACGGGUGCGUAACGCGUAUGUAACCUACCUCAAACAGGGGCAUAACACUGAGAAAUUGGUACUAAUUCCCCAUAACACUUUGGGAGGCAUCUCCUGGAGUUGAAAGUUCCGGCGGUUUGAGAUGGACAUGCGGCGCAUUAGCUAGUUGGCGGGGUAACGGCCCACCAAGGCGACGAUGCGUAGGGGUUCUGAGAGGAAGGUCCCCCACACUGGUACUGAGACACGGACCAGACUCCUACGGGAGGCAGCAGUGAGGAAUAUUGGUCAAUGGGCGGGAGCCUGAACCAGCCAAGUCGCGUGAGGGAAGACGGUCCUAUGGAUUGUAAACCUCUUUUGUCGGGGAGCAAAGAGGCCUCGUGAGGUCAAAAGUGAGAGUACCCGAAGAAAAAGCAUCGGCUAACUCCGUG